RNAcentral lists this long non-coding RNA (645 nucleotides) under Salvia miltiorrhiza (redroot sage). Its description in RNAcentral is "long non-coding RNA (SMIL_LNC008681)". The record is from RNAcentral. Lineage: Eukaryota; Viridiplantae; Streptophyta; Magnoliopsida; Lamiales; Lamiaceae.
GGCUCAUAAAUACGUAUUUGCAUAUAUAAUUUCAUAACUCAAAAUUAACCACAGUCUAGCUUGAUACUAAAAGGCUUGGUCCUAAUUUUACCACAAAAAUAAACGUCUACUCAUAAGUUAAUAAGAAACGUGCCCAAAUUCGAGCAUAACAAAAGCAUUUUACACUGACUAAAUUUAUUUUCCCACCUUGCAAAACGACGUACGAAGGGAUAUCUGAUCAAGCCCUGGACCACACCUCCAACUCUAAUAUCGAGCUGGCAUAGACAUAUUAUGUCUACACAAACAAACAACACAUAUAUAAAAAUAAAUGUAAUUGAGCUUAGCAUAAUCACAAUUUCUAAUAAACCAUAAAAAUUAAUUAAUUGUUAGUUUUGUUUGGAGUUUUGAGCAGAAAUCCAUCCAAUCAGCAAUGAUUCUUCUGAGGACGCACCCCCUUCUCUGUGGCAAUCUGGGUUUCUCCUCCACCGCCGGCGCCGGCGCCGGAGUUUUGCCUCCGCCGCUGGUGGUCGGCCUCACAUAACUCCCACUCCCAUUCAUUUUGCAAUCUUCUCUUGAGUUUGAUAUGAAUAAUGGACUUUCUUGAACUUGAUGAAUAUAAUAUACUCCCUUUUUAUGGUGUAUGUGAUGAAUAUAAUAAUGGACUAG